AGCGGUAAAUGAAAUAUACGUGUUAUAUUGUUUUAGUCUCUUUCCCUCAUUCUCACACAUUUCACAUCACCUUUUCCUUCUCUUUCUAUUUCCUCCUUUAGCCCUCUUUGAUUUUUUCAAACCCUAGAUGAACACCAAGAGCCUCAAUGAACGGAGUAGAGCUUCUGUUUGCAUCUACUUACUAGUACUACUUAGGGAAUGGACGAAUCUACUGGACCACCACCUUCAUGAACCCCUCUUAACCUCUUCGGUGGCGUGAAGUCGUUGGACAAAGCCAACCCUUUCUCUUGGUCUCUCUUGCCUCUGUUUCUCUAGAAAUUAAGCUGGAUCAAGUUCGUAAUCAACUUCAGGAAGGGUCAUCAAACUAUUUUAAGGGAUUGAUGCUUAUUCUUUGCUAUUUUAUAGUUCCAGCCACUUUCUUUGUGCACGUUGACCCUUCAAAUGGUGAGAACUGAUCAAAUAAUUUUUUUUUUAUAUAUAUAUUUCCCUUAUCAUUUUAUAUACAAGGGAACGCAUGCAAUUGCACACAUACAUACACAUUUGAUUAUUUGUAUGAGAUUUAAAUUUUUUUCCAAUAAGCUUAUUUUCUUUGGAAACCAGGUUUAUUUUGUUCAGUUCUUUGUUCAAAAUAACACUUUUUUUUUCUCCAUUCAACCAGGUUUACAUUUGAAUAAAGUUUCUUGAGUUUGUAUUUUCUGUUUUUGGAGUUAUCUAUUAUCUCAAGUUGUAGUCUUCUUUCUAUUUUUUUUUACACAUAAUAAGCAUUUUUUGUUUUAUAUAUAUAUAGAUAAUAUGUAGAGUUUUGCAUUUGAGGAA
Molecule: long non-coding RNA, 816 nt
Organism: Humulus lupulus (European hop)
Lineage: Eukaryota; Viridiplantae; Streptophyta; Magnoliopsida; Rosales; Cannabaceae
Exons: 3
Source: RefSeq, a predicted model, not a curated record